RNAcentral lists this ribosomal RNA (497 nucleotides) under uncultured bacterium. RNAcentral describes it as "partial 16S ribosomal RNA". It matches the Rfam family "Bacterial small subunit ribosomal RNA", at positions 28 to 507 of the family's 1533-position model. The record is from RNAcentral.
GAUGAACGCUGGCGGCGUGCCUAAUACAUGCAAGUCGAGCGAACAGACGAGGAGCUUGCUCCUCUGACGUUAGCGGCGGACGGGUGAGUAACACGUGGAUAACCUACCUAUAAGACUGGGAUAACUUCGGGAAACCGGAGCUAAUACCGGAUAAUAUAUUGAACCGCAUGGUUCAAUAGUGAAAGACGGUUUUGCUGUAACUUAUAGAUGGAUCCGCGCCGCAUUAGCUAGUUGGUAAGGUAACGGCUUACCAAGGCAACGAUGCGUAGCCGACCUGAGAGGGUGAGCGGCAACACUGGAACUGAGACACGGUCCAGACUCCUACGGGAGGCAGCAGUAGGGAAUCUUCCGCAAUGGGCGAAAGCCUGACGGAGCAACGCCGCGUGAGUGAUGAAGGUCUUCGGAUCGUAAAACUCUGUUAUUAGGGAAGAACAAAUGUGUAAGUAACUAUGCACGUCUUGACGGUACCUAAUCAGAAAGCCACGGCUAACUACGUG